UUUUGGACAAUGGGGGCAACCCUGAUCCAGCAAUGCCGCGUGAGUGAAGAAGGCCUUCGGGUUGUAAAGCUCUUUUGUCAGGGAAGAAACAGCAGCUCUAACACAGUCUGCGAAUGACGGUACCUGAAGAAUAAGCACCGGCUAACUACGUGCCAGCAGCCGCGGUAAUACGUAGGGUGCGAGCGUUAAUCGGAAUUACUGGGCGUAAAGCGUGCGCAGGCGGUUAUACAAGACAGGCGUGAAAUCCCCGGGCUUAACCUGGGAAUGGCGCCUGUGACUGUAUAGCUAGAGUGUGUCAGAGGGGGGUAGAAUUCCACGUGUAGCAGUGAAAUGCGUAGAUAUGUGGAGGAAUACCAAUGGCGAAGGCAGCCCCCUGGGAUAACACUGACGCUCAUGCAGAAA
This 402-nucleotide ribosomal RNA is filed under the name uncultured bacterium. RNAcentral describes it as "bacterial SSU rRNA". It matches the Rfam family "Bacterial small subunit ribosomal RNA", at positions 362 to 758 of the family's 1533-position model. The record is from RNAcentral.